Brassica napus (rape) is the source of this 1889-nucleotide long non-coding RNA. RefSeq lists it as uncharacterized. Lineage: Eukaryota; Viridiplantae; Streptophyta; Magnoliopsida; Brassicales; Brassicaceae. The record is from RefSeq and is a predicted model, not a curated record. The transcript is spliced from 2 exons.
UUGUGACUAUGUUGAUAAUUUUUAAAUAUUUUCAUAUUUUUGAAAAUCUAAUAGAUAAAAAUUCAAAAAAAAAUAACAUAUUUAAAUAUUUUCAUUUUCUACAGUUUUUCAUUGUUCAAAUCCCCUUAGUUGACACCGGCUUGGGGUUAUCUCGGUUAAGUAAACAAUCAUCUGUUCUCGGGAGUCAUUGACUGUCUCGGUGUCAGCUUUUGGCCAAUGUUCACUUCCCAGUGCCACAUUAGCCUCUUGGUCUUGUGUGGUGGUGUUGUUUGGUUUUUCUUACUGGUAAUUAUCGGAGAUGUGUUGUUAGGUUGUAGCGGUAAAUUCAACCUGCUUUCUGCAUUUUCAUGGCGUUGGAGGUGGGUGUAUAGCCGAGUUCACAGCGUCUCGCUAAGGGGAUAUGUCUUGAACUCUCCACUUUCAAUUGUCACGCUCUAAAAUGGUGGUGAAGGUUACAAGCUUGAUAAGUCUAUCGACGGACAGCUAUUCCAGAAACUUUUUGGAGAGCUUUGGCAUCCGAGGAAACAAGGUGAAUCUCGCUUCUUUGAGCUUCGCGCUAAAGGUUGAGAACAGUCGUUGAUUACCGACGAUUUUGGCUACAAGUUAACGGUACGCAUCGGGGGUGACGGGUCAAGCGAAGCUAGCUUAGGAACCGUUAGAAUUUGGUUGUUUUGUUUGAGUCGGUUUGUAAUCGAAACCUAAUUCUCUAUUUUUGGGUUAAUAUAUUUCAAUUUCAAAAAAAGAAAAAAAUUCUUAAAGAAAGUGCUCGCGAUAUAUAUAUAUGGAUAUCCUUUAUGUAUUCAUUGUGCAAUGUGGCGUUUUAUGUGGGUACAGAAUAUGAAGUACAAGAUAUUUUUGUUAUAAAUAUUUUAUAUUUGUGGUGGAAAGUGUUCGAACACCAACAACCAUUAUCACACACCCAAAAUAUGAUAGCAAAAGAAACAAAAUUAGUUUUCACAAGGAUUACACCGUUCUCUCUCUUUAAUUUCAGAAGCAGUUGCAUAUAUAAGACAAAACUAUUAAACUGAUUUAGUACAAUAUCCAUUUUUUUUAUCCUUUCAGUAUAUCCUUUUUAACCGAAAAGAUUCACAUUCGAGGCUUGAUUAAUAUAUAAAGGUUUGGACCAUUCUACUUAUGCUAAUCUAAUUUUUUUAAACUGAAAUACAAAUAUAAAUUAGUUUUCCUAAAUAAUUACAAUCUAAUGUCAAUGAUCAAAACACAGUAGUUUUAUCUAAUUACUAACUUAUUACUUCUCUGAACAGUACAUUUUAUCACGUCUUUUUUUACCUACUAUAUCUUCGAACCAUGAAUCACGCCUUUUUUUACCUACCAUAUCUUCAAAUAUAAAUGAAAAACUUAUGUUAACAAUUCUUAAAUAAUAUACGUGAAAGAUCUUUACAAUAUUCGAAUAUCCGGCUCUGCGACAAUUAAGAUGCGAAACUAUCUCAAACCUAACAGCGAUGAAGAUUCGAGAGAUUACUGGGUUUCUCUAUGGUUUUCCCAGUCAUAUUAAUCUGUAUUAAAUGGAGGAAGAAUCACAUGUUACAGCGACGAAGAUCGGAGGGGUUUUGUGGAUCUCAAUCAGUGGAGAAUAUGCAAUUCUUAGCUGGGAGGUUCAGGUCUUCCUUAUUUUCGAUGAGAUGGGGUGGAUAUUGGCAGAGAAAAGUUGUGAACCUUCGGGAGAAGAUGAAAGAAGUCACAUAUUUUAACUUUGUGUUCAACAGAAAAAAAAAAACAAAAAAACAAAUAAUUAGUUAGGUUGAAAACAAUAUGUGUGCAUUGAUAUUUCCCAUAUUCUUUUGUGGUCUUUCUCCGUUAAUAUCAUACUAAAUCAUAUUUUCUUUGUAAUGUAUUAUGGCACAUAUUAAUAACCAAACUAUGUUUACUUU